Long non-coding RNA from Stegostoma tigrinum, 1191 nucleotides. RefSeq lists it as uncharacterized. The transcript is spliced from 3 exons. Lineage: Eukaryota; Metazoa; Chordata; Chondrichthyes; Orectolobiformes; Stegostomatidae. The record is from RefSeq and is a predicted model, not a curated record.
AGGCGAUCAGGACGACUCCCCCCGGCACCAGGUUCACACUCUCUCUCCGGUUCAGAAUCCAAUUCAUCUCAGUCCCCAUACUCACUUGGCUGGAAAUGCGGGCCAUGCCAAACCUGGCAGCAUCGCAAAAUGCGAGGAGGGUAGUGUGGAACUUCUAAAGGACACAGGCUGUUUGGAGAAACAAGUGGUCAAACUGUCAGGAAUUCAAUGAAGUGCUAUCUUAUCCCCACACCAUUCUAUCCAAGGAUGUUAUGACACACCUCUGGAGCAGGUGGGACUCAAAGCAAGGACUCCAAGAUCACAGGUGAUUUCUACGAAGAACAUGUGAUGACCAAAGCAAUUUGUAGAAGCAAUCCUGUUCUGGAUGAAGCAGGACAAAGGUAGAUUUCAUACUCGACUUCAGGCUUCAUUUCCAGGAAGAAUUGGGCACGCCGUUCAACAAGGAGAAUUUUGAUUUAGUUGCUGUGUUGUCAAAAGUAAGUCAGGGAGGUGGGAAAGCAAAUGGGAGGGAGGGUCACAAUCAGGAUACCUGAACGAGAUGGGGUUGAAUGGGAGUGGAGCAGAAAAGUAUUUCACAGUGCAAUUAAUUAUAGGAGGGCCAUUCAUGCAUCUCCUGGUCCCACUUACCAAUUCAUUAGCUUUUGAUGCCAAACACCAGAAGGCUGUACGGACCACUUGUUAGAGCACAUGUAGAUCUUGUGUAAAGUUUUUUGGAUGACAGGAAAUGCAUGUCCACAGCCAUUUAACGCUGAGAUAACAGAUUAGCCAGAAAACAGUGAAAUCCUGGCAGUUGACUGCAUCAGUGACUAAAUAUAGGUAUCGUUACAAAUGACAAAGUUAAAUUUUACAUUACCUUGCAACAAAAGGCAUUCAACAUUUAAUUACCUCAUGAGGGUUAGCAUUGAACGUAAGGCUGCCUUCAUCGAGUUGCAUGUAGAGUUUCCGGUAGCUAAAAUUUGAAGGAUGGUCUCUAUAAUAAAUGGAACAGUGACCCCAGGUGGAUUUACACAACCUGAAACAAAAUCCAUACAGCACAUUGGUAGUUUAUCAAUACUUGACUUUAACAAAUCAUUUUUACAUGGUUUUAUGAAACAGUUCCCAGUAAUUUUACAUAGAUUAAAUACUAAAUGUGCAGAAGCUAUUUAAUGGAUCUUCAUUAAAAUUGAUAAAAGUCUAUGUAAUAGUCAAAGG